AUGCAUAUCCCUUCACUCUCGCAAUCCCAUAUGUAGAACAUGUUAUCUUUCUCCACCUCAUUUCUCCUGUUUCAAAUGUAAGAAUUUGAUGACCAAAUGGAUAAGCUAUGAACAAUACCAUGAAUUGCUUGUCAAACCGGAUCAAACCCAAAAAAGCUGAACGCCUAUCUGUAACUUUGCAGAUAAGGAUACAAGAAACGAGAACAACAGUGUAGAGGGAAGACCAGCGGCGACGUCUUCUAGGAUUUGGAGGAGGAUAGCUUUCUCCCCAAGGUUAAAAGUUUUUUCCAACAACAAGGUUUUUUUUUAUCAAUCCUAAUUGAGUGUUCUCUCUCUCUUGAGUGUUUCUUUCCAAGCACCCUGA
This is a long non-coding RNA of Arabidopsis thaliana (thale cress), 364 nucleotides long. RefSeq annotates it as other RNA. The transcript has 2 exons. Lineage: Eukaryota; Viridiplantae; Streptophyta; Magnoliopsida; Brassicales; Brassicaceae. The record is from RefSeq.